UGAGGAAUAUUGGUCAAUGGGCGAGAGCCUGAACCAGCCAAGUAGCGUGCUCCUACGGGAGGCAGCAGUGAGGAAUAUUGGUCAAUGGACGAGAGUCUGAACCAGCCAAGUAGCGUGAAGGAUGACUGCCCUAUGGGUUGUAAACUUCUUUUAUAUGGGAAUAAAGUGGUCCACGUGUGGAUUUUUGUAUGUACCAUAUGAAUAAGGAUCGGCUAACUCCGUGCCAGCAGCCGCGGUAAUACGGAGGAUCCGAGCGUUAUCCGGAUUUAUUGGGUUUAAAGGGAGCGUAGGUGGACAGUUAAGUCAGUUGUGAAAGUUUGCGGCUCAACCGUAAAAUUGCAGUUGAUACUGGCUGUCUUGAGUACAGUAGAGGUGGGCGGAAUUCGUGGUGUAGCGGUGAAAUGCUUAGAUAUCACGAAGAACUCCGAUUGCGAAGGCAGCUCACUGGACUGCAACUGACACUGAUGCUCGAAAGUGUGGGUAUCAAACAGGAUUAGAUACCCUGGUAGUCCACACAGUAAACGAUGAAUACUCGCUGUUUGCGAUAUACAGUAAGCGGCCAAGCGAAAGCAUUAAGUAUUCCACCUGGGGAGUACGCCGGCAACGGUGAAACUCAAAGGAAUUGACGGGGGCCCGCACAAGCGGAGGAACAUGUGGUUUAAUUCGAUGAUACGCGAGGAACCUUACCCGGGCUUAAAUUGCAUUUGAAUAUAUUGGAAACAGUAUAGCCGUAAGGCAAAUGUGAAGGUGCUGCAUGGUUGUCGUCAGCUCGUGCCGUGAGGUGUCGGCUUAAGUGCCAUAACGAGCGCAACCCUUAUCUUCAGUUACUAACAGGUUAUGCUGAGGACUCUGGAGAGACUGCCGUCGUAAGAUGUGAGGAAGGUGGGGAUGACGUCAAAUCAGCACGGCCCUUACGUCCGGGGCUACACACGUGUUACAAUGGGGGGUACAGAAGGCCGCUACCUGGUGACAGGGUGCUAAUCCCAAAAGCCUCUCUCAGUUCGGAUCGAAGUCUGCAACCCGACUUCGUGAAGCUGGAUUCGCUAGUAAUCGCGCAUCAGCCAUGGCGCGGUGAAUACGUUCCC
RNAcentral lists this ribosomal RNA (1085 nucleotides) under uncultured bacterium. RNAcentral describes it as "bacterial SSU rRNA". It matches the Rfam family "Bacterial small subunit ribosomal RNA", at positions 277 to 1375 of the family's 1533-position model. The record is from RNAcentral.